CCUACGGGUGGCAGCAGUGAGGAAUAUUGGUCAAUGGGCUUACGCCUGAACCAGCCAAGUCGCGUGAGGGAAGACUGCCCUAUGGGUUGUAAACCUCUUUUGUCAGGGAGCAACGCCGGCUACGUGUAGCCUGCCUGAGAGUCCCUGAAGAAAAAGCCUCGGCUAACUCCGUGCCAGCAGCCGCGGUAAUACGGAGGAUGCGAGCGUUAUCCGGAUUUAUGGGGUUUAACGGGUGCGUAGGCGGAAUGCCAAGUCAGCGGUAAAAUCGCGGGGCUCAACCUCGCUCCGCCGUUGAAACUGGCGUUCUUGAGUGGGCGAGAAGUAGGCGGAAUGCGUGGUGUAGCGGUGAAAUGCAUAGAUACCACGCAGAACUCCGAUUGCGAAGGCAGCAUACCGGCGCGCAACUGACGCUGAAGCACGAAAGCGUGGGUAUCGAACAGGAUUAGAUACCCUUGUAGUC
RNAcentral lists this ribosomal RNA (460 nucleotides) under uncultured bacterium. RNAcentral describes it as "partial 16S ribosomal RNA". It matches the Rfam family "Bacterial small subunit ribosomal RNA", at positions 338 to 795 of the family's 1533-position model. The record is from RNAcentral.